UUAUCCUCCUUCAAAUAAAAAAAAAAGAGGAAAAAAGAAGAAAAAUGUAUUUUUAAUAAAUCUCCCAAAAUAAUUUUCAGACAUUGUUGGCAGUCUUUCUGUCUUUUUCCCUUUCUCCAUUCAGAACUUAUUUUUUUUUUUUUUUUUUUUUUUUUUAAUACUGACUAACGAUGAAACAUACUGGUUGAAGAAUUGGAACAGUUGGGAGAAAUGAGGGCUCACAAACAAGACAGAGUAGCUUUUUAUGUUAUUAAAACUGUUUUCCCCUUAAGGAACAGAUUGUUAUGUAAUAGAAGAAGGAAGACAUCAUGAUGACCUAUCAAACUGUUGUCUUGUGCGCCUCUCCUGACACUUGCAGUAACAUGGCUCAAAGCGAUAGUUACUACAAAUGCAAGGAAGGGCGAGGAGGGAGGAAAAUUCACUCCAGUUGCUUCCCUGAGAGAGUGUCAGCUGCCACUCUUCAAUAA
Molecule: long non-coding RNA, 467 nt
Filed under: Anser brachyrhynchus (Pink-footed goose)
Lineage: Eukaryota; Metazoa; Chordata; Aves; Anseriformes; Anatidae
Description: lncRNA (ENSABRG00000021534.1)
Source: RNAcentral